RNAcentral lists this ribosomal RNA (253 nucleotides) under uncultured bacterium. RNAcentral describes it as "partial 16S ribosomal RNA". It matches the Rfam family "Bacterial small subunit ribosomal RNA", at positions 524 to 776 of the family's 1533-position model. The record is from RNAcentral.
UACGUAGGGUGCAAGCGUUGUCCGGAAUUAUUGGGCGUAAAGAGCUCGUAGGCGGUCUGUCGCGUCUGCUGUGAAAACUCAGGGCUUAACCCUGAGCUUGCAGUGGGUACGGGCAGACUAGAGUGCGGUAGGGGAGACUGGAAUUCCUGGUGUAGCGGUGAAAUGCGCAGAUAUCAGGAAGAACACCAAUGGCGAAGGCAGCUCUCUGGGACGGUACUGACGCUGAGACGCGAAAGCGUGGGGAGCGAACAGG